RNAcentral lists this transfer RNA (64 nucleotides) under Microhyla irrawaddy. Its description in RNAcentral is "tRNA-Val". Lineage: Eukaryota; Metazoa; Chordata; Amphibia; Anura; Microhylidae. The record is from RNAcentral.
UAUUUAUACUAACUUCACCUUUUUAAUAACUUCAUAAAACAUUUUCCACACCUAGUAAAGGCGA